CAACCCUCAAGCCCUCCGGGCUUGGCGUUGGGGACCGGCCCCCGCUCUGGGCGGCCGGCCCCGAAAUCCAGUGGCGGUCCCGCCGCGGCUUCCUCUGCGUAGUAGAAACACCUCGCACUGGGACGCGGCGCGGCCACGCCGUAAAUCAGACGAAUUUUUUUCAAGG
This 166-nucleotide unclassified non-coding RNA is filed under the name uncultured Fusarium. RNAcentral's name for it is "sequence contains ITS2". Lineage: Eukaryota; Fungi; Ascomycota; Sordariomycetes; Hypocreales; Nectriaceae. The record is from RNAcentral.